ACGGGAGGCAGCAGUAGGGAAUAUUGGGCAAUGGAGGCAACUCUGACCCAGCCAUGCCGCGUGAAGGAAGACGGUCCUAUGGAUUGUAAACUUCUUUUGCCGCAGAGUAACCGCGGGGACGCGUCCCCGCCUGAGAGUAUGCGGCGAAUAAGUAUCGGCUAACUCCGUGCCAGCAGCCGCGGUAAUACGGAGGAUACGAGCGUUAUCCGGAUUUAUUGGGUUUAAAGGGUGCGCAGGCGGAUCGGUAAGUCAUGGGUGAAAAGUUGGGGCUCAACUCCAAUCGUGCCUAUGAUACUGCCGGACUAGAGUGCAAGCGACGUAACUGGAAUGUGGUGUGUAGCGGUGAAAUGCUUAGAUAUGCCACAGAACGCCGAUCGUGAAGACAGGUUACGAAUUUGCAACUGACGCUCAUGCACGAAAGCGUGGGGAUCAAACAGGAUUAGAUACCCUGGUA
This 454-nucleotide ribosomal RNA is filed under the name uncultured Persicobacter sp. RNAcentral's name for it is "partial 16S ribosomal RNA". It matches the Rfam family "Bacterial small subunit ribosomal RNA", at positions 341 to 792 of the family's 1533-position model. The record is from RNAcentral. Lineage: Bacteria; Pseudomonadati; Bacteroidota; Cytophagia; Cytophagales; Persicobacteraceae.